Molecule: long non-coding RNA, 1023 nt
Filed under: Gouania willdenowi (blunt-snouted clingfish)
Lineage: Eukaryota; Metazoa; Chordata; Actinopteri; Blenniiformes; Gobiesocidae
Description: lncRNA (ENSGWIG00000006736.1)
Source: RNAcentral
UCUUACUGGUUGGAAUCGUUCUCUGUGUGCCAUGUUCAUCACUCCUUUCUGUCUCUUUAUCGUUCUUUGUUAGUAUUGACAAGGGUUUUCUCCUCAGGAAAGUGAUGAAGAUGCCAGAAAAACAAAUGAGCUGAGAGUAGAAACUUCAACAAUAAGCCAUGUAAGACAAGAGUAUUGUUUUCUGUCUCUCUCAAAUUACAGUCUCUAAAGCCUUGUUCCUGUCCCAGACUCAAUGCUCCCCUUCAAGUCUCUUUUUUAAAUGAAUAUUGGGCAUGUGUGUUCUUCCAAGAAUAGUGAUGAAGAUGACAGCCAAACAGAAGAGCAGAGAGCAGAAACUUUUAAUGAAGCACAGGUGAGACGAAACUACAACCAUUACUCUUUUUCUGUCUCUGAAACUACACAACCUUCACAGUCUUAUCUCUUCUUUUUCUGAUGUUUUUGAUGACUAAUGGACUUUUGUUCUUCCUCUAUGGUCCAUCAUGUUCACAAAAGAGCUCUCAGAGCAAUGAUGACGCUGGCAGCCAAACAGAAGUGCAAAGAGCAGACCUUUCCACAUUGGAACAGGUGAGAUUAAACACAAUUGCUCACCUGUGGAACACCCACAUCAUUCAGAGAAGCAGAAAUGCAGUUGCACCUAGUGGCCGGCCUCACAUGAUGUACAUGCUUCCUCAGCUUUUUGGGGAAAGGACCAUCUCAAACAUGCAUCUGUGCAAGCAGUACAAACAUGCAGAGCACAAUGCAUACAACGAGGACCUUACCCAUGUGAUGAGACUGCCAUCCACUGGAAGGAUAAGAUGUGAUUGAUCCACUGAAGCAGAGGAUGAAUGCUGUAACCAUCACUGCUGUGUUACACAUGGACCAAAGUUUCCUCUCAGCCUGUUGUUAAUAGAAAUGAAACACUUUCUCAUCUGCUUUGCUUCAGUUCAUUUGGGGCCAACAUUGUUGAAUUGAUUGAUCACCACAUUUGACACUACACAGAUAUACAGUAUGUAUGAAUAACGUGCUUCAAGUAGAGAAAAUAAG